AGCUCAUUAUACUAGCCAUAGUUUAUUGGAUCUUAUCUCAUUACUUGAAUAACUGUGCUAAUUGUAGAGCUAAUGCAUGCAAAAAAACUCUACCCUAUGGGAAGAGUGCAUUUAUUAGAACAAAACCAAUUGGGCUUGCCCAUUCUUUGGUGAAUCUGAAUAACUUAGCUAAUCGAAUGGUCUUUGUACUGUCGAUGUGUCCUUCAAGAGUCUACCUUAUCAACUUUCGAUGGUAGUUUACAUGACUACCAUGGUUGUGACGGGUAACGGAGAAUCAGGGUUUGACUCCGGAGAGGGCGCCUGAGAAAUGGCGACCACAUCCAAGGAAGGCAGCAGGCGCGCAAAUUACCCCAUGUUAGCAAAACGAGGUAGUGACGAAAAAUAACAAGGUGGUUCUCUAUGAGGUCCAUCAUUGGAAUGGGUACAAUUUAAACCCUUUAACGAGGAUCUAUUGAAGGGCAAGUCUGGUGCCAGCAGCCGCGGUAAUUCCAGCUUCAAUAGCGUAUAUUAAAUUUGUUGCGGUUA
This 525-nucleotide ribosomal RNA is filed under the name Cyatholaimus sp. LPCFF15F04. RNAcentral's name for it is "bacterial SSU rRNA". It matches the Rfam family "Eukaryotic small subunit ribosomal RNA", at positions 95 to 621 of the family's 1831-position model. The record is from RNAcentral. Lineage: Eukaryota; Metazoa; Nematoda; Chromadorea; Chromadorida; Cyatholaimidae.